Long non-coding RNA from Trachemys scripta elegans, 213 nucleotides. RefSeq lists it as uncharacterized. The record is from RefSeq and is a predicted model, not a curated record. Lineage: Eukaryota; Metazoa; Chordata; Testudines; Emydidae. The transcript has 2 exons.
ACCACUCUCGGGUGAACUCGGAAGCGGGCACCUGAAACCGUAUGGUGGCCGCAUAACGUCAGGCGGAAGUGAUAAGCCGACGGGCUUGUACUUCCGGGCUAGCGCUGUGCUUGUGAGGGUGCUGAGUCCUGAGCCACGCUAUGUCGGGCAGAGACGGUGGUAAGAAGAAACCUCUGAAGCAACCGAAGAAACAGGCAAAGGACAUGGACGAGG